Molecule: long non-coding RNA, 745 nt
Organism: Dipodomys ordii (Ord's kangaroo rat)
Lineage: Eukaryota; Metazoa; Chordata; Mammalia; Rodentia; Heteromyidae
Exons: 6
Source: RefSeq, a predicted model, not a curated record
CAGCUCUAGCUUAGGUUCCCGGCGUACAGCUACCACCUGAGAGUCGGCCCAACAUGAAUUGAGGGAAGCGGACUCCCCAAGUGCACGCGCUCCGCUCCUGCAGCUGUGUGCCUUCCUGCUCUUUGCCAGUAAACUAUUUAUACUCCUUCUAUUGUCUGCCAGCGGCUGCCAAAGGGGGCUCCCACAAUGCCGAGGUAUUGUAACUAAGGACUGAUUUACAACUAGUGCCACCCUGAAAUAGAUGUAGACAAGACCUGAAGCUCAGAGGGAGAUCAGACAUCAAAUUUGAACCUGAAACGAAAAUGAAAACUUCAGGUCCUAAGCCCAAGCCUAUAUAUAAUAGAAGAAGAAAAAGACGUGUUAAUUUUGUACAGAAUUACAUGCCAAUUGAAGAAAGACAAACAGAAUCUUACUUCUGCUUCAAUCCACUCAAACUCUGUGCUAUGUUGUUGGGCGGACACUCCGGAACUACAUUUGCAACUACUAUUUGGAAGUUGAUUGUGCAGAUUGCCAAAACAUGCCAGGAUUUCACCAACCUCAUCUCUAUGCAGAUAGAGGGCCAGCCACAAAACCACAUCCACCACUGGCCCCUCUACCCAAGGGAGCUUCUCUUCCUCCUCCAGUACCUGGAAUAAGUGGUAAACAACAUUAAUACUACCAUUAACUUGAUUUAAGGAGCCUCACCUCCACUACCACUUUUAUUGGAGAAACCUGCUUUCCAGGCUAUCAUUUCCAUGUUCAUGGA